UGGGCUGCAUCAGUCAUGCCAU
Molecule: microRNA, 22 nt
Filed under: Chrysemys picta (Painted turtle)
Lineage: Eukaryota; Metazoa; Chordata; Testudines; Emydidae
Description: cpi-miR-1791-5p
Source: miRBase by way of RNAcentral